RNAcentral lists this ribosomal RNA (441 nucleotides) under uncultured bacterium. RNAcentral's name for it is "partial 16S ribosomal RNA". It matches the Rfam family "Bacterial small subunit ribosomal RNA", at positions 338 to 795 of the family's 1533-position model. The record is from RNAcentral.
CCUACGGGGGGCAGCAGUGGGGGAUAUUGCACAAUGGGGGGAACCCUGAUGCAGCGACGCCGCGUGGGUGAAGGAGUGCUUCGGCAUGUAAAGCCCUAUCGGCAGGGAAGAAGCAAGACGGUACCUGACUAAGAAGCCCCGGCUAACUACGUGCCAGCAGCCGCGGUAAUACGUAGGGGGCGAGCGUUAUCCGGAUUCACUGGGUGUAAAGGGAGCGUAGACGGCCAUGCAAGCCAGGGGUGAAAGCCCGGGGCCCAACCCCGGGACUGCCCUUGGAACUGCAUGGCGGGAGUGCGGGAGGGGCAGGCGGAAUUCCUGGUGUAGCGGUGAAAUGCGUAGAUAUCUGGAGGAACAUCAGUGGCGAAGGCAGCUCACUGGACUGCAACUGACACUGAGGCUCGAAAGUGUGGGUAUCAAACAGGAUUAGAUACCCUUGUAGUC